GGUUGCAUAAUCAAGUAACGUGGAUUUAAAUUACUACAUAUGAAAAAUUUGUACGGAGUGCGAUGAAAAGAAAAGCAAAUGGGACCUUUUUUUUUUAAACUGGGCUCUUCAGUAUAAACCAGAGGACAAUACACAAUAGGUUCGCUUAAAUACGAAGCCAAUUAUGACCACAGAAAAAACGUGAGAAGAGCACGUCAAAAAAAAAAUGACGAGAAACUUCUAGUUCUUGUUUAAAAUAGAAACAACCCCAUAAAACCUUAAACCCUAGAUUGCAGAAUUAAGCUGUAAAGUUUGAGCGAUUUAUUUGAUGGAGAUGACUUCCAUGAUCAAUCAGUUAGAGACUUAUUAAUUGAUCUUUCUCGACAUAUAAUGGCUCGUUGAGUGAUGUUUCACUAGCGUGUGGACAUACACCAAAGCCUCACGGAGUCACCACAAAAGCUUGAUUAAUUUGGAGGAGUUUUGCGUCUGGAUGUGUGAGGAGCUAUACUUUCCAUUAGGUUCAGUAAAAUGUUGGCUGAAAUCAGCAUCGCUCCAUCAUCACAAGAUCCUUACCUCUGGCAUGAUCUAUCAGCCUCGCUCCAUCAGCAUAAGAUGUUAAGAUCCUAACUCUGCUACGAUCAGCCUCGCUCCAUCACCAUUAGAUCCUCACUCUGCUACGAUCAGCCUCGCUCAAUCACCAUAAGAUCCUAACUCUCACUGCUACGAUCAGCCUUGCUACAUCAGCACAAGAUCCUAAUUUCUGCUACUUUUGAAUAAUCAUCUCAUACAGUCCAACUCCUUUGGUAAAUCUAUAAAUCACUUGCUACUUAGUGUAGAGUGAUAUGUGCAUUAAUACAUAGUUAAUUAGUUAUACUCUCAUGUAAAUGGUUCUCUCAAUGCUUUAUAAAGCUUACAUAGUUGAAGACUCCAUAACUUGAUUUAAUUAAAGUAUUUUGGAUGAUGAAAGUCAAACGUGUUAUGAGUGGUUUAGUAUAUGAUUAAUGGGCAUACAGAAUUAACAUGAUAUUAUCUUUAUGCAUAUUUGGUAUUCUUGUUUUAUCUAAAAUAAAUAAGAUGGUUAUAUUUAACAAAGUUGUUACAGCUGCCGAAACACUUAGCAUAAGUUUAUUAUGUAUUAUAGUAUAUGUUUGAUAAAUUAUUUACUUGUGUGUAGGUUGAAAAUAUAAUCUGCUUAAUGAGAAUAAUAUUACUGUUAUUUUCGAACUGCUUUCUUCAAUAACAGAAUGCUGUUUUAUACUUAUUCUAGAUAAAUAUUUUGUUUUUGAUAAGCAAGAUAAUAGGAUAAAUAUUGCAGAUUAAUCUCAGAGAUUUCAUUAUUAUUAUUAUUAUUAUUAUUUUAUUUCUCAAAAAUUUUACCUAAUGAAAUAAUGAGUGUAAGUAUAUAGUAGAACAUCAAAAAACAAUUUAUCUGAAGGGGAAGAAAUAUAGCGAAGAGAAUUUCCCAUGUUUGAUUUCAAAAUUUAUGUAACAUUCCGUAAAAAAAAAAAAAAAAAAAAAA
This is a long non-coding RNA of Chenopodium quinoa (quinoa), 1498 nucleotides long. RefSeq lists it as uncharacterized. The record is from RefSeq and is a predicted model, not a curated record. Lineage: Eukaryota; Viridiplantae; Streptophyta; Magnoliopsida; Caryophyllales; Amaranthaceae. The transcript has 2 exons.